Molecule: long non-coding RNA, 1400 nt
Filed under: Mus musculus (house mouse)
Lineage: Eukaryota; Metazoa; Chordata; Mammalia; Rodentia; Muridae
Description: Riken cDNA A530021J07 gene
Source: RNAcentral
CCAGGGAGGAAGGGCUGUUCUGAGCCAAAUCUGCUGUAUUUUCCCUUGGAUUUGUCUCCUAGCCCAGGCCUAACUGUAAUCAUAUCUAAGCACUACAGUAAAUGUGCAAGGCCAUUGGUAAGCCUCAAAACUGCUGGUUUAGUAAAAACUGCAAGACAUUGGCCAUGAACAGUCACAAGAAUGGAGAACCAAUGGCGAGACCAUUCUUCCUCAGGCAGUCCUAUUUGCUGAAUGAGUUCCUGGGGUCAUGCAACAGAUACUGACUGAUGUUGCAGGAGACAGGAAUAAGGUGGCACCAGGCACAUGAUAGUGUGGUGGGCAAUCUGCAGCAGCCGCCACAGCUUCCAGCCAGCCACACAGUUGGGAGACAAUGAACCAACAGACUCUACAAGCUGGUGGCAGGAAUUGGAAGGUGGUGGAACCUUUGAAAGAUGGUGGCAGCAGAGCAAGAAGAACAAAACCCUUGAAGAUCUGGACAGGUCUCUGCUGCCUGACCCACCAGAAUGGGAACGGCUUCUACCACCCAGCCCUGUGGCCGUGAAAUCUGACCUCCUGCUCUUCCUCCCCUGUCACAAUGGAUGAAACCAAGAACCAGAGUUGGCAGAGACUCUGUUCUUUACAACUAUUCAUCCAUCAGGCUACCAAAGACCCCACUGUCCCACGUUGUCUGGCUCCCAUAGUCUUCACAAUUACUGCAGAAGAAGGGAGGAGAGGAGAGGAAAGAACUAGGCACCAGCUUUUUAUGUCUCCAGCCAGAAAUGAUAGAGAUCACUUCUGUACACACUUUGUUGGCUAAAACUAACUGCUUGAUCCUAAUCCCACCCAGUUCCAAGGAAACAGAAGAGACAGCUUUCUACUCCCAAAAAGGACAGAAGGAAUGUGUCUUCUCAAGUACAGGCAAUACUGCCCAAGCCUGGCUUAUUUGUGCAUAUAAACCUACAGUUAACACCCUGCCAUUUGUCAUGGGUGUCCUUCCAUGGCUAUUUCUAUUUCUUGUAAGUAGCCAUAUAGCUUAUAGUUGUCAUUGUUAAGUCAAAUCGUGUUGUGCUAGAAUAAUUCCUUACCAUUUAAUGGCUAAUUAUGAGAUCAAUUUGAUUUUAUGAUAAAAUUUUAAGCAAAAGCUUUGCAUGGUUUUUGAAUUAUUGCAUUAUUAUCUUGUUUUACUUCAAAGAGAAAGUUUCUGUGAAAAGUGGGCAUACUAAAAAUGUUCCAUAUCCCUUUGCAAAACUCCCUUCGCUCUCCAGACCUAAAGAACCCUGAGGACGGUGGGACGCAUGCUCAUUUUCCUGUGCUGUUCUUAGGAUGGAAUAUUAAACACCCCUGCUAAUAAAAUUAAUACAAAAUUGUGCUUGUUUUAAUUGCUCUGUUGUCUUUAAUCACAAUAAAGAGAAAUACAAUGU